UGCAGUCCUUGCUAUGGGCAGAUGUUUCUUCUGUUCUUCUUACAGCAGUAGGAGUGGUUGGACACUGAACCUCAAAGAAGAGGGAGCUAACAUCCCUUACCUGGAUAAGUGCCACAGAAAAAUGAAUAUGUAGACAUCUGCCUGGACUAAUUAAGUAAUCACUGCUCUUUGUGAUCUUCAAUGCCGUUCUUCACUCAAAAACCUCAAAGCGCAAAGAAUUUUUCUGAGGCAGAAAGCCACGCACAGUGGAGCUGUUUGUGCAUUGAGGGCAAUCUCCUUUGGCUUUUUUGAGCUCAAGUUCUUCAAGCAAGUAUUAGUGUGAACAGCAGCAGCUUAAAGCACUCCCUAAUCUUGAAGAGACCAUAAGUAACACACUGCUUGAACAAGACCUCACACAGAAAGUGUUGCUGUGGAAGUUUUAAGCAAGAUGCCCAACACCAAUUAGUUUGAAGAGCUAAAGCAUGUUUGGAUCCUCUGAUGAAUGGUGCUGAGGAUGAGUAUUUUGCAGACUAUUUUAUAUCUUAGAGAGCCCCAGCCAUGAAAUAUGCCCACAUGAAUGCCAUUUUCAGGGUUUCUAAGCAAAACAAAAGUAUGUACAUUUUAUUAACGCAGAUGGCGACAUUUUUAAAAAGAAUCCUAAUCAUCCACGGACAUUGCAACUUCCCCCUCUCCCUCCCACCUCUAUUGCAUGCACUAAGGAUCUAACUCACAUUACAAAAAUAACUUCAGAGAAGGGCUGAAACUAAAUUUCAUCAUUUCCCUUUUUUAAUGGCAACAGUUGCAAAUGUGUACAUAAUGUUGCUGCCACUUAAUCAGUUUAUUGUAAAUACCACAUACAAAUCAGUGGGGUUUUUUUUCUGUUUUCAAAACAAAUCUUGAAUAUUUGAAAAGCACUCUGAAAAUAAGUCCUUGUUUCAAUAUUUAGCUUAAAAAGUAGUCUAUUCUGUUAUUUAUUUUUGCCCCAAACCCUCGUUGUUUUAUUAAGAACUCCUCGGGAAGUUUUGCAUUGUUGGACAUGAAUUCAUUCCAUCCUCCAGACAAAACAGUGCUUGUGGAACUUGAUCAGCUUGAGGUUGCUGUUGGAGUAAUAGACAG
Molecule: non-coding RNA, 1095 nt
Organism: Cyanistes caeruleus (blue tit)
Lineage: Eukaryota; Metazoa; Chordata; Aves; Passeriformes; Paridae
Source: RefSeq, a predicted model, not a curated record